GGGGAAUAUUGGACAAUGGGCGCAAGCCUGAUCCAGCCAUGCCGCGUGUGUGAAGAAGGCCUUCGGGUUGUAAAGCACUUUUGUACGGGAAGAAAAGCACUGGGUUAAUACCCCGGUGUCAUGACGGUACCCAAAGAAUAAGCACCGGCUAACUUCGUGCCAGCAGCCGCGGUAAUACGAAGGGUGCAAGCGUUACUCGGAAUUACUGGGCGUAAAGCGUGCGUAGGUGGUUUGUUAAGUCUGAUGUGAAAGCCCUGGGCUCAACCUGGGAAUUGCAUUGGAUACUGGCAGUCUAGAGUGCGGUAGAGGGUAGCGGAAUUCCCGGUGUAGCAGUGAAAUGCGUAGAUAUCGGGAGGAACAUCCGUGGCGAAGGCGGCUACCUGGACCAGCACUGACACUGAGGCACGAAAGCGUGGGGAGCAAAC
RNAcentral lists this ribosomal RNA (425 nucleotides) under uncultured bacterium. Its description in RNAcentral is "bacterial SSU rRNA". It matches the Rfam family "Bacterial small subunit ribosomal RNA", at positions 356 to 773 of the family's 1533-position model. The record is from RNAcentral.